Molecule: ribosomal RNA, 901 nt
Filed under: uncultured Acinetobacter sp.
Lineage: Bacteria; Pseudomonadati; Pseudomonadota; Gammaproteobacteria; Moraxellales; Moraxellaceae
Description: bacterial SSU rRNA
Rfam family: Bacterial small subunit ribosomal RNA
Source: RNAcentral
AGAGUUUGAUCCUGGCUCAGAUUGAACGCUGGCGGCAGGCUUAACACAUGCAAGUCGAGCGGGGAAGGGUAGCUUGCUACCUGACCUAGCGGCGGACGGGUGAGUAAUGCUUAGGAAUCUGCCUAUUAGUGGGGGACAACAUUCCGAAAGGAAUGCUAAUACCGCAUACGCCCUACGGGGGAAAGCAGGGGAUCUUCGGACCUUGCGCUAAUAGAUGAGCCUAAGUCAGAUUAGCUAGUUGGUGGGGUAAAGGCCUACCAAGGCGACGAUCUGUAGCGGGUCUGAGAGGAUGAUCCGCCACACUGGGACUGAGACACGGCCCAGACUCCUACGGGAGGCAGCAGUGGGGAAUAUUGGACAAUGGGCGAAAGCCUGAUCCAGCCAUGCCGCGUGUGUGAAGAAGGCCUUUUGGUUGUAAAGCACUUUAAGCGAGGAGGAGGCUACUUGGAUUAAUACUCUAGGAUAGUGGACGUUACUCGCAGAAUAAGCACCGGCUAACUCUGUGCCAGCAGCCGCGGUAAUACAGAGGGUGCGAGCGUUAAUCGGAUUUACUGGGCGUAAAGCGUGCGUAGGCGGCUUUUUAAGUCGGAUGUGAAAUCCCUGAGCUUAACUUAGGAAUUGCAUUCGAUACUGGGAAGCUAGAGUAUGGGAGAGGAUGGUAGAAUUCCAGGUGUAGCGGUGAAAUGCGUAGAGAUCUGGAGGAAUACCGACGGCGAAAGCAGCCACCUGGCCUAAUACUGACGCUGAGGUACGAAAGCAUGGGGAGCAAACAGGAUUAGAUACCCUGGUAGUCCAUGCCGUAAACGAUGUCUACUAGCCGUUGGGGCCUUUGAGGCUUUAGUGGCGCAGCUAACGCGAUAAGUAGACCGCCUGGGGAGUACGUCGCAGACUAAAACUCAAA